GAUGAACGCUGGCGGCGUGCCUAAUACAUGCAAGUCGAGCGAACAGACGAGGAGCUUGCUCCUCUGACGUUAGCGGCGGGCGGGUGAGUAACACGUGGAUAACCUACCUAUAAGACGGGGAUAACUUCGGGAAACCGGAGCUAAUACCGGAUAAUAUAUUGAACCGCAUGGUGCAAUAGUUAAAGACGGUUUUGCUGUCACUGAUAGAUGGUGCCGGGCCGCAUUAGCUAGUUGGUAAGGUAACGGCUUACCAAGGCAACGAUGCGUAGCCGACCUGAGAGGGUGAUCGGCCACACUGGAACUGAGACACGGUCCAGACUCCUACGGGAGGCAGCAGUAGGGAAUCUUGCGCAAUGGGCGAAAGCCUGACGGAGCAACGCCGCGUGAGUGAUGAAGGUCUUCGGAUCGUAAAACUCUGUUAUUAGGGAAGAACAAAUGUGUAAGUAACUAUGCACGUCUUGACGGUACCUAAUCAGAAAGCCACGGCUAACUACGUG
Molecule: ribosomal RNA, 497 nt
Filed under: uncultured bacterium
Lineage: Bacteria
Description: partial 16S ribosomal RNA
Rfam family: Bacterial small subunit ribosomal RNA
Source: RNAcentral